This 232-nucleotide unclassified non-coding RNA is filed under the name Ascomycota sp. RNAcentral describes it as "partial contains small subunit ribosomal RNA, internal transcribed spacer 1, and 5.8S ribosomal RNA". The stretch from base 1 to 47 matches the Rfam family "Eukaryotic small subunit ribosomal RNA", at positions 1785 to 1831 of the family's 1831-position model. The record is from RNAcentral. Lineage: Eukaryota; Fungi; Ascomycota.
AAAGUCGUAACAAGGUCUCCGUUGGUGAACCAGCGGAGGGAUCAUUAGCGAGUUUUAAACUCCCAACCCUCGUGGACAUACCUAUCGUUGCUUCGGCGGGGCGCCCUAACACAGGGCGCUGCCCCUCACGGGGCGCCCGCCGGCGGCACGCAAACCAAACUCUGUCUUCUGGUUGAAUUCUGAGUAGACUAUAAAUAAGUCAAAACUUUCAGCAACGGAUCUCUUGGUUCUG